GCACAACGCGAAGAACCUUACCUACUCUUGACAUCCAGAGAACUUUCCAGAGAUGGAUUGGUGCCUUCGGGAACGUCUGAGACAGGUGCUGCAUGGCUGUCGUCAGCUCGUGUGUGAAUGUUGGGUUAAGUCCCGCAACGAGCGCAACCCUUAUCCUUUGUUGCCAGCGGUUAGGCCGGGAACUCAAAGGAGACUGCCAGUGAUAAACUGGAGGAAGGUGGGGAUGACGUCAAGUCAUCAUGGCCCUUACGAGUAGGGCUACACACGUGCUACAAUGGCGCAUACAAAGAGAAGCGACCUCGCGAGAGCAAGCGGACCUCAUAAAGUGCGUCGUAGUCCGGAUUGGAGUCUGCAACUCGACUCCAUGAAGUCGGAAUCGCUAGUAAUCGUAGAUCAGAAUGCUACGGUGAAUACG
This 415-nucleotide ribosomal RNA is filed under the name uncultured bacterium. RNAcentral's name for it is "bacterial SSU rRNA". It matches the Rfam family "Bacterial small subunit ribosomal RNA", at positions 954 to 1370 of the family's 1533-position model. The record is from RNAcentral.